RNAcentral lists this small nuclear RNA (103 nucleotides) under Chinchilla lanigera (long-tailed chinchilla). The record is from RNAcentral. Lineage: Eukaryota; Metazoa; Chordata; Mammalia; Rodentia; Chinchillidae.
UUGCUUCAGCAGCAAAUAUACUAAAAUUGGAAAGAUGCAGAGAAAAUUGGCCUGGGCCUUGCACAAGAAUGAUAUACACAUUUAUGAACUAUUCCAUUUCUUU